GUCGUAACAAGGUUUCCGUAGGUGAACCUGCGGAAGGAUCAUUGUCGUACCUAUAAAGCAGACCGUGAACAUGUCGACUAUAUGGAACUGUGGCGAUCACGUCGCAUUCCACUCCCGCAUGCGGGCACCUAGGUGUGCGUUGUGCGGGCUAACGAACCCCGGCGCGGUAUGCGCCAAGGAAAACUCAUAGAAGCGUCGGCCUCCCUCGCCCCGUUCGCGGUGAGCGUGUGGGGAAAUGAUGUCUCUCAAAUGUCAAAAUGACUCUCGGCAACGGAUAUCUCGGCUCUCGUAUCGAUGAAGAACGUAGCGAAAUGCGAUACUUGGUGUGAAUUGCAGAAUCCCGUGAACCAUCGAGUCUUUGAACGCAAGUUGCGCCUGAAGCCUUCUGGCUGAGGGCACGUCUGCCUGGGCGUCACACAUCGCGUCGCCCUCACUCCCUCCCCUUCUUACGGGGCGUGUUUUUGGUGGGGGCGGAUAAUGGCCUCCCGUGCACAAUAAUGUGCGGCUGGUCCAAAUGCGAACCCGCGGCGACUCACGUCACGACCAGUGGUGGUUGAAUCUUCAACUCUCGUCUGUCGUGUCGGAUGGUGUUGCAUGUUGCGCUCUAUUAUAGACCCAUAGGCACGAGUUACUUGUGCUUUCGACUGCGACCCCA
RNAcentral lists this small RNA (655 nucleotides) under Orobanche transcaucasica. RNAcentral describes it as "eukaryotic LSU rRNA". The stretch from base 260 to 415 matches the Rfam family "5.8S ribosomal RNA". Lineage: Eukaryota; Viridiplantae; Streptophyta; Magnoliopsida; Lamiales; Orobanchaceae. The record is from RNAcentral.